GAUGAACGCUGGCGGCGUGCUUAACACAUGCAAAGUCGAACGGAGAAAGGGUAGCUUGCUAUCUUUCUUAGUGGCGGACGGGUGAGUAACGCGUGGGUAACCUGCCCUUUGCAGGGGGAUAACAGUGAGAAAUCACUGCUAAUACCGCAUACCAACUUCUUUCGCAUGAAAGAAGUUUGAAAGAUUUAUCGGCAAAGGAUGGACCCGCGUUGGGUUAGCUAGUUGGUGAGAUAACAGCCCACCAAGGCAACGAUCCAUAGCCGGCCUGAGAGGGUGAACGGCCACACUGGGACUGAGACACGGCCCAGACUCCUACGGGAGGCAGCAGUGGGGAAUAUUGCACAAUGGGCGAAAGCCUGAUGCAGCGACGCCGCGUGAAGGAUGAAGGUCUUCGGAUUGUAAACUUCUAUCAGCAGGGAAGAAAGGGCCUAUGGCCUAUGACGGUACCUGACUAAGAAGCCCCGGCUAACUACGUG
Molecule: ribosomal RNA, 476 nt
Filed under: uncultured bacterium
Lineage: Bacteria
Description: bacterial SSU rRNA
Rfam family: Bacterial small subunit ribosomal RNA
Source: RNAcentral